AAUUUUUGGAAAUAAUUCAUAGUGAUUCCUUAUGAGGAAAAUAUCUCUCCUUUAGUUAGGGAUUGGUCAUGGAAAGCUUAUGUUCAAGAGGAUUUGAUGUUCUUGGAAGAUUUGAGGUGAUGGAAAGCUUAUGUUCAAGAGGAUUUGAUGUUCUUGGAAGAUUUGAUGUUCAAGAGGAUUUAAUGUUCAAGAGGCUAGAUUUUUGUUAUUCUCAAGAUAAAAGUUUUGAGAGGAAAUGG
Molecule: long non-coding RNA, 239 nt
Filed under: Cicer arietinum (chickpea)
Lineage: Eukaryota; Viridiplantae; Streptophyta; Magnoliopsida; Fabales; Fabaceae
Description: long non-coding RNA (CARI_LNC001152)
Source: RNAcentral